Long non-coding RNA from Vicia villosa (hairy vetch), 680 nucleotides. RefSeq lists it as uncharacterized. The transcript is spliced from 5 exons. Lineage: Eukaryota; Viridiplantae; Streptophyta; Magnoliopsida; Fabales; Fabaceae. The record is from RefSeq and is a predicted model, not a curated record.
AUCUUUUCUUUUUUUUCACUUUCUCCUUCUUUCUCUUUCUGCUUUCUCUUCAUUCUUCUAAUUUCACAUUAAUGUCUACUUUCUCUUUGUCUGUCAUCUUCAUCUUGCAGAAUUUGAUUACAUGGUCUUAUAAUUUGUUGAGGUCAUAUUCUUGACUAAAUGUUUUUUGAUUUAUUAACUAUUAUCAUGUGUUUGUUUCAGAUUUUACAAAAGCACUGCUUGAAUGCAAAGAAAAUGUUCAAGAUCUCUUAGGGUUUGUGCAAUAGAAGAUGCAGAUGAACAAACAGAUGAAUAAAGGCCUUCCACUUGUGUAUUCAUAAAUCUUUUUCUAAACGAGUAUUUGGAAACCACCAGAUUUGAAACUGAAAUCAUUAGAUCUGAAAUUGAAGUCUCCAGAUCUGAAAUCAAAACCCCCAGGAAAUAAGAAGCAACAACACAAAGGUACAUACUGAUACCUACAAAAAAUGAAGCUCUUAUUUUGAUGACUAUAUUUAGAAAGUUGUUAUGAGGAAGAAGAAAAUCCAAGAAAUCAAUGAACAAGUUGUGGAAGAAUAUUGAUGGAGAGAGAAAUAUUAAUGAACGAUAUUGAUGAGUAAAAAUAUUUGUUGAAAUUAAAUACACUUAAAUGUCAUUAAUUUGUCAUAAUUUUUUUUGUAGUACUAAUUUAAUUUUGAUUAAUA